UGAUCCUGGCUCAGAUUGAACGCUGGCGGCAGGCCUAACACAUGCAAGUCGAGCGGUAACAGAGAGUAGCUUGCUACUUUGCUGACGAGCGGCGGACGGGUGAGUAAUGCUUGGGAACAUGCCUUGAGGUGGGGGACAACAGUUGGAAACGACUGCUAAUACCGCAUAAUGUCUACGGACCAAAGGGGGCUUCGGCUCUCGCCUUUAGAUUGGCCCAAGUGGGAUUAGCUAGUUGGUGAGGUAAUGGCUCACCAAGGCGACGAUCCCUAGCUGGUUUGAGAGGAUGACAGCCACACUGGACAGGA
This 305-nucleotide ribosomal RNA is filed under the name Pseudoalteromonas sp. RNAcentral's name for it is "bacterial SSU rRNA". It matches the Rfam family "Bacterial small subunit ribosomal RNA", at positions 14 to 322 of the family's 1533-position model. The record is from RNAcentral. Lineage: Bacteria; Pseudomonadati; Pseudomonadota; Gammaproteobacteria; Alteromonadales; Pseudoalteromonadaceae.